Molecule: unclassified non-coding RNA, 619 nt
Filed under: Wendtia gracilis
Lineage: Eukaryota; Viridiplantae; Streptophyta; Magnoliopsida; Geraniales; Francoaceae
Description: sequence contains ITS1, 5.8S rRNA gene, ITS2
Rfam family: 5.8S ribosomal RNA (bases 239-394)
Source: RNAcentral
UCAAAACCUGCCAUGCAGAACGACCCGCGAACAAGUCACCUAAAUAGGGAGACGUUGAGUGCCUUAAUGGUGCUCUGCUGAUCCCGAAACUGGGCAAGAGGGCUAACGCCUUCGAACCUAGUACAACCUUGAACCCCGGCGUGAGAAACGCCAAGGAACUUUAACGAGAAACGAUCUUCCUCAACGUGUCGUGAAAGCGGUGUUGUGGGGAUGGUCGUGCCUCCACUAUGUCUAUAACGACUAUCGGCAACGGAUAUCUCGGCUCUCGCAUCGAUGAAGAACGUAGCGAAAUGCGAUACUUGGUGUGAAUUGCAGAAUCCCGUGAACCAUCGAGUUUUUGAACGCAAGUUGCGCCCAAAGCCUUCGGGCCGAGGGCACGUCUGCCUGGGUGUCACGCACUCGUUGCCCCCACAACCUUCACCCUUAAAAGGGUUUGGGUUGGGGGCAGAAUAUGGUUUCCCGUGCGCUCCCGCUCGCGGUUGGCCCAAAAAUGAGUCCUUGGCGCCGAGCGUCACGACAAGCGGUGGUUGAAAUACCCUCCUCUAAGAUGUCGUGUAUGUGAGUCGUCAAUACUAAGGAUCUCUGAGACCCACGAUCGUCCUGCGACCCCAGGUCAGGC